CAGUCGCCACGGGAAUACAGAGGGUGCGAGCGUUAAUCGGAUUUACUGGGCGUAAAGCGUGCGUAGGCGGCUUUUUAAGUCGGAUGUGAAAUCCCUGAGCUUAACUUAGGAAUUGCAUUCGAUACUGGGAAGCUAGAGUAUGGGAGAGGAUGGUAGAAUUCCAGGUGUAGCGGUGAAAUGCGUAGAGAUCUGGAGGGAUACCGAUGGCGAAGGCAGCCAUCUGGCCUAAUACUGACGCUGAGGUACGAAAGCAUGGGGAGCAAACAGGAUUAGAUACCCCCGUAGUCCCUGUCUCUUAUAC
Molecule: ribosomal RNA, 301 nt
Filed under: uncultured bacterium
Lineage: Bacteria
Description: partial 16S ribosomal RNA
Rfam family: Bacterial small subunit ribosomal RNA
Source: RNAcentral